AAUGUCUUAGGUUAAUUAAAACCUUGGGCCUUCAAAGUCCAAUAUAAAGUAAGUUCUUUAGACAUUA
This 67-nucleotide transfer RNA is filed under the name Lepas anatifera. RNAcentral's name for it is "tRNA-Trp". The record is from RNAcentral. Lineage: Eukaryota; Metazoa; Arthropoda; Thecostraca; Lepadidae.